RNAcentral lists this ribosomal RNA (525 nucleotides) under Fusarium graminearum. Its description in RNAcentral is "eukaryotic LSU rRNA". The stretch from base 168 to 321 matches the Rfam family "5.8S ribosomal RNA". Lineage: Eukaryota; Fungi; Ascomycota; Sordariomycetes; Hypocreales; Nectriaceae. The record is from RNAcentral.
GCUAGGAGCGGAGGACAUUACCGAGUUUCAACUCCCAAACCCCUGUGAACAUACCUUAUGUUGCCUCGGCGGAUCAGCCCGCGCCCCGUAAAAAGGGACGGCCCGCCGCAGGAACCCUAAACUCUGUUUUUAGUGGAACUUCUGAGUAUAAAAAACAAAUAAAUCAAAACUUUCAACAACGGAUCUCUUGGUUCUGGCAUCGAUGAAGAACGCAGCAAAAUGCGAUAAGUAAUGUGAAUUGCAGAAUUCAGUGAAUCAUCGAAUCUUUGAACGCACAUUGCGCCCGCCAGUAUUCUGGCGGGCAUGCCUGUUCGAGCGUCAUUUCAACCCUCAAGCCCAGCUUGGUGUUGGGAGCUGCAGUCCUGCUGCACUCCCCAAAUACAUUGGCGGUCACGUCGAGCUUCCAUAGCGUAGUAAUUUACACAUCGUUACUGGUAAUCGUCGCGGCCACGCCGUUAAACCCCAACUUCUGAAUGUUGACCUCGGAUCAGGUAGGAAUACCCGCUGAACUUAAGCAUAUCAAAA